This 255-nucleotide ribosomal RNA is filed under the name uncultured bacterium. RNAcentral's name for it is "partial 16S ribosomal RNA". It matches the Rfam family "Bacterial small subunit ribosomal RNA", at positions 524 to 776 of the family's 1533-position model. The record is from RNAcentral.
UACGUAGGGCGCAAGCGUUGUCCGGAAUUAUUGGGCGUAAAGAGCUCGUAGGCGGUUUGUCGCGUCUGCCGUGAAAGUCCGGGGCUCAACUCCGGAUCUGCGGUGGGUACGGGCAGACUAGAGUGAUGUAGGGGGAGACUGGAAUUCCUGGUGUAGCGGUGAAAUGCGCAGAUAUCAGGAGGAACACCGAUGGCGAAGGCAGGUCUCUGGGCCGUAACUGACGCUGAGGAGCGAAAGCAUGGGGGAGCGAACAGG